UCGACCAAGGUUCGACUCGAGCGCCAGCGAGAGAGCGUUGCCGCAGGCAACGACCCGAAGGGCGAAGCGCGCAGCGCUGAGUAAUCCUUCCCCCACCACCA
Molecule: small RNA, 101 nt
Filed under: Escherichia coli
Lineage: Bacteria; Pseudomonadati; Pseudomonadota; Gammaproteobacteria; Enterobacterales; Enterobacteriaceae
Description: partial RtT sRNA
Rfam family: RtT RNA
About the family: This family represents a bacterial cis-regulatory element known as RtT RNA.
Source: RNAcentral